UACGGAGGAUCCGAGCGUUAUCCGGAUUUAUUGGGUUUAAAGGGUGCGUAGGCGGACGUUUAAGUCAGUGGUGAAAGUUUGCAGCUCAACUGUAAAAUUGCCAUUGAAACUGAAUGUCUUGAGUGUAAAUGAGGUAGGCGGAAUGUGUUGUGUAGCGGUGAAAUGCUUAGAUAUAACACAGAACACCAAUUGCGAAGGCAGCUUACUAGAAUACAACUGACGCUGAGGCACGAAAGCGUGGGAAUCAAACAGG
This 253-nucleotide ribosomal RNA is filed under the name uncultured bacterium. Its description in RNAcentral is "partial 16S ribosomal RNA". It matches the Rfam family "Bacterial small subunit ribosomal RNA", at positions 524 to 776 of the family's 1533-position model. The record is from RNAcentral.